AGAGUUAAAAAGUACGUGAAAUUGUUGAAAGGGAAACGUUUGAAACCAGUCAUGCUGGCGGGAAAUCAGCCUACCUUCUGGGGGGUGCACUUUCCCGUUGGCAGGUCAGCGUCAGUUUCGAUCGCCGGAAAAAAGCCUAGGGAAUGUGGCUCCUCUCGGGGAGUGUUAUAGCCCUGGUCAAUACGGUGGUUGGGACUGAGGAACGCAGGGCAUGCCUUUUAAGGCUGGGUACUCCGGUGCUCGUGCCCGCCCCGCGGUGGACAGCUUGCUGACCUCCGUUGGGACCUGGGUGCGAUCCGCCGGAUAACCACAUAUGCCCUUAGGUCGCUGACUUAAUGGUUUUAAAUGACC
RNAcentral lists this non-coding RNA (351 nucleotides) under uncultured fungus. The record is from RNAcentral. Lineage: Eukaryota; Fungi. RNAcentral also lists the same sequence under 1 other name.